AAGGAAAGGUGAAAAGGACCCCGGGAGGGGAGUGAAAGAGAACCUGAAACCCUGUGUCUACAAGCUGUGGAAGCACUUUAUAUGUGCGACCGCGUACUUUUUGUAGAACGGUCCGGCGAGUUACGCUUACUGGCAAGGUUAAGCACUUCAGGUGCGGAGCCGUAGGGAAACCAAGUCUUAAGAGGGCCUUAAGUCAGUAGGAGUAGACCCGAAACCGGGUGAUCUAUCCAUGUCCAGGUUGAAGCUGCCGUAAGAGGUAGUGGAGGACCGAACCCACAUCCGUUGAAAAGGGUGGGGAUGAGGUGUGGAUAGGGGAGAAAUUCCAAUCGAACCCGGAGAUAGCUGGUUCUCCUCGAAAUAGCUUUAGGGCUAGCCUCGUAUUAGUCUGGUGGAGGUAGAGCACUGAAUUUCCUAGGGGGCGUCAAAGCCUACCGAAGAAUAUCAAACUCCGAAUGCCAUACAGAUGAUGUACGGGAGUCAGACGGCACGAGAUAAGUUGGGUCGUCAAAAGGGAAAGAGCCCAGACCUGCAGCUAAGGUCCCAAAGUGUGUGUUAAGUGGAAAAGGAUGUGGGAUUUCAAAGACAACUAGGAUGUUGGCUCAGAAGCAGCCACACAUUCAAAGAGUGCGUAAUAGCUCACUAGUCGAGAGGUCCUGCGCCGAAAAUGUCCGGGGCUGAAACACAACACCGAAGCUCAGGAAUGUAUUUAUACAUUGGUAGAGGAGCAUUCUUAAAGGGGCGAAGCAGUACCGAUAAGGAGCUGUGGACUUUUAAGAAGAGAGAAUGCCGGAAUGAGUAGCGAGAUGGAGGUGGGAAUCCUCCAGGCCGAAUAUCCAAGGUUUCCAGAGUAAAGCUGAUCUGCUCUGGGUAAGUCGGGGCCUAAGGCGAGGACGAGAGUCGUAGCCGAUGGACAACAGGUGGAGAUUCCUGUACUGCGGUAUGACAGAACUGUGGGGACACGUAAGGAAAGCGGAAGCCGGGAAUGGAAAGCCCGGUGCAAGCGGGGUACCAGUCACUCUGGCAAAUCCGGGUGGCAAUGGGAAGCCGUGAUGCGGAGCGAAAUAAAGUAGCGAAGUCCGUGAGCCAUGCGUCAAGAAAAGCCGCUAUUGUUUAUACCGUACCCGUACCGUAAACCGACACAGGUGGAUGAGGAGAGAAUCCUAAGGCCGGCGGGAGAAGCAUUGUUAAGGAACUCGGCAAAAUGACCCCGUAACUUCGGGAGAAGGGGUGCCUGCGAGAGCAGGCCGCAGAGAAUAGGCUCAAGCAACUGUUUAGCAAAAACACAGGUCUAUGCGAAACCGAAAGGUGAGGUAUAUGGGCUGACGCCUGCCCGGUGCUGGAAGGUUAAGAGGAGAGGUUAGCGCAAGCGAAGCUUUGAAUUUAAGCCCCAGUAAACGGCGGCCGUAACUAUAACGGUCCUAAGGUAGCGAAAUUCCUUGUCGGGUAAGUUCCGACCCGCACGAAAGGCGUAAUGAUUUGAGCGCUGUCUCGACAAUGCACCCGGUGAAAUUGAAAUACCAGUGAAGAUGCUGGUUACCUGCGCCAGGACGGAAAGACCCCAUGGAGCUUUACUCCAGCUUGAUACUGGGAUUCGGUAUUGCAUGUACAGGAUAGGUGGGAGGCUAGGAGAUGGUAACGCCAGUUGCCAUGGAGCCGCUGUUGGGAUACCACCCUUGCAGUAUUGGGUUUCUAACCAGCCGCCGUGACCCGGCGGUGGGACAAUGCCAGACGGGGAGUUUGACUGGGGCGGUCGCCUCCGAAAGGGUAUCGGAGGCGCCCAAAGGUUCCCUCAGAAUGGACGGAAACCAUUCGAAGAGUGCAAAGGCAGAAGGGAGCUUGACUGCGACACCGACGGGUGGAGCAGGUACGAAAGUAGGACUUAGUGAUCCGGUGGUAUAAAGUGGGAUUGCCAUCGCUCAACGGAUAAAAGCUACCCUGGGGAUAACAGGCUUAUCACUCCCAAGAGUUCACAUCGACGGAGUGGUUUGGCACCUCGAUGUCGGCUCAUCGCAUCCUGGGGCUGAAGUAGGUCCCAAGGGUUGGGCUGUUCGCCCAUUAAAGCGGUACGCGAGCUGGGUUCAGAACGUCGUGAGACAGUUCGGUCCCUAUCCGGCGUGGGCGUAGGAUAUUUGAGAGGAGCUGACCUUAGUACGAGAGGACCGGGUUGGACUGGCCGCUGGUGAAUCUGUUGUUCUACCAAGAGCAUGGCAGAGUAGCCAAGCCGGGAAGGGAUAAACGCUGAAGGCAUCUAAGCGUGAAGCCCCCCUCAAGAUGAGAUAUCCCAACGCAAGUUGUAAGACCCCUUGAAGACGACGAGGUAGAUAGGGCAGAGGUGGAAGUGCAGUAAUGUACGGAGCUGACUGUUACUAAUCGGUCGAGGGCUUAUCCA
This 2389-nucleotide ribosomal RNA is filed under the name human gut metagenome. RNAcentral describes it as "bacterial LSU rRNA". It matches the Rfam family "Bacterial large subunit ribosomal RNA", at positions 506 to 2925 of the family's 2925-position model. The record is from RNAcentral.